GUAGGUGAACCUGCGGAAGGAUCAUUACAACGUAUCCACGUAUAAACAAACGCGAACACUCCUUUGGGCUUGUGAAACCAGAAUAAGCUGGUCUGAAGCUAAACGGUCGAACUGCUAACUAUGCGCUCUGUCGAUGGAGUCGUCUCGGGGAAGCCCGAGCGACUGGAGCGUCAGUUCUUGGCCCGGAUCAGCCCUUUGCGGUAUUUCCGAGCUUCGUUCACCCCAAAGUGUUAUUCAACCAUCGGUUCCUAUUGUACCCUUUAUUAACCCUUUGCAACUUUUGAACUGAACUUUGUAAACACUGCGGCAAUCCUUGUUGGCUUCGGUCACGGAGAGCGCUAACGCGGUGCUUUUACUAACGAUUACGAAAUAAGAACAACUCUUAACAACGGAUAUCUUGGUUCUC
RNAcentral lists this unclassified non-coding RNA (406 nucleotides) under rhizosphere metagenome. Its description in RNAcentral is "partial ribosomal RNA internal transcribed spacer region". The record is from RNAcentral.